ACGAACGCUGGCGGCGUGCCUAAUACAUGCAAGUAGAACGCUGAAGGCGGAGCUUGCUCUUCUGGAUGAGUUGCGAACGGGUGAGUAACGCGUAGGUAACCUGCCUGGUAGCGGGGGAUAACUAUUGGAAACGAUAGCUAAUACCGCAUAAGAGUAGAUGUUGCAUGACAUUUGCUUAAAAGGUGCAAUUGCAUCACUACCAGAUGGACCUGCGUUGUAUUAGCUAGUUGGUGGGGUAACGGCUCACCAAGGCGACGAUACAUAGCCGACCUGAGAGGGUGAUCGGCCACACUGGGACUGAGACACGGCCCAGACUCCUACGGGAGGCAGCAGUAGGGAAUCUUCGGCAAUGGACGGAAGUCUGACCGAGCAACGCCGCGUGAGUGAAGAAGGUUUUCGGAUCGUAAAGCUCUGUUGUAAGAGAAGAACGAGUGUGAGAGUGGAAAGUUCACACUGUGACGGUAUCUUACCAGAAAGGGACGGCUAACUACGUG
Molecule: ribosomal RNA, 494 nt
Filed under: uncultured bacterium
Lineage: Bacteria
Description: partial 16S ribosomal RNA
Rfam family: Bacterial small subunit ribosomal RNA
Source: RNAcentral